This is a non-coding RNA of Salvia hispanica, 954 nucleotides long. NCBI's taxonomy places the organism in Eukaryota, Viridiplantae, Streptophyta, Magnoliopsida, Lamiales, Lamiaceae. The record is from RefSeq and is a predicted model, not a curated record.
UGAUCUUUUUUUAAGUUGCAAACGGCCUUUAUGAUGUUGGAAAUCUAGAAAAAAAUGCAUAAUCAUGUUCAAAUCCAGCAAACCUUCCACCUGAGUCAUCACCCUGUGGUGGAGGUCUGCAGACUUGAUUUCUCUGUUCAUCUGCUGAGGAACUGGUUGGAGGAUAGGUCGAUUAUCCCGGUAGGAGAGAGAACUUACUCCUUGGAAGUUAUUUGACAAUUGAGAUUGUUGUUCCUCAAAACCAGAACUCUCAAGUUGGGAAAUUUCUCUAGCAAUGUUUUUCCAACACCUCAAGCAUUCUGCAGUUUGCCUUCCAAGAGAUUGUUGUUGAUAUUUAGAGAGCUAAGUAAGGCUGCUGGCUAAUGCCAACUCUGGUGGGAUUCACCAGUAUUUGUUCCCCUGCAGGUUCAAGACAGUAAAAUUUGACACCAAUCCUAGACAUUCGUGGACCCAUCCACUUAAGUGAUUCUGAGAAGCAUCAAGAAUGCAGAGGCUGCUCGAAUUGCAGAUCCCAGUCGGAAGUGAUCCCUGAAGCAGAUUGCUUCAAAGAUCAGAUCAAGGGUGGCCGACUAGCCAAUGAAGUUGAGGAGACAUUGGGGAGAGGUCAAGGUUAGGCCGUCUAGCAGCUGCAGAAACUGCGGAAACUUGACUAGAUUCCUUCGGAAAGUGUACCUCAUCAUCUGAAAGAUCAAAUCCAACUCAUUAAGAAAGCAAGUCCACAAUGCCCUUGGAUUUGAUUGUUUGAAAUAUUCAGUCCUCAGUUCUUGUUUCUUGAGGAAAGUUGGAGCUCUGCCAAACCAUGCAAGUUUACCAUCAUGCAAAUUAGGUCUUUUUUCAUCUGUAAAAUUUGGGUUUUAGACUUGGUAGCUAAUUUUUCAGAUUACUCGGCAUGGAAUUUUUUAUUGAUGUUAUGCAAAUUAAUUUAUUUCUAUGAUUAUGGAUUAAUUUGAUGCA